GAGGACGGGCAGGAGGGGGCUUUUCACGGGUCCCUGAAUUGGCGGGUUUUACUCACUCUGGGCAAACUGGACAUUUCUGCCACCGUGUGCCCUUGUCUCGUGGUAACCGGCAUCCUUCAGCCUGUCCCCCUGGCUUCCACGGGGCUGGCUGCCAGGGGGUGUGCCGGUGUCAACAUGGAGCCCCCUGCGACCCCAUCAGUGGCCGAUGCCUCUGCCCUGCUGGCCUCCACGGCCACUUCUGUGAGAGGGGGUGUGAGCCAGGUUCAUUUGGAGAGGGCUGCCACCAGCGCUGUGACUGCGACGGGGGGGCACCCUGUGACCCUGUCACCGGUCUCUGCCUUUGCCCACCAGGGCGCUCGGGAGCCACCUGUAACCUGGAUUGCAGAAGGGGCCAGUUUGGGCCUAGCUGCACCCUGCA
RNAcentral lists this small RNA (418 nucleotides) under Pan troglodytes (chimpanzee). RNAcentral describes it as "retained intron". Lineage: Eukaryota; Metazoa; Chordata; Mammalia; Primates; Hominidae. The record is from RNAcentral.